AUUGAACGCUGGCGGCAGGCCUAACACAUGCAAGUCGAACGGUAACAGGAAGAAGCUUGCUUCUUUGCUGACGAGUGGCGGACGGGUGAGUAAUGUCUGGGAAACUUCCUGAUGGAGGGGGAUAACUACUGGAAACGGUAGCUAAUACCGCAUAACGUCGCAAGACCAAAGAGGGGGACCUUCGGGCCUCUUGCCAUCUGAUGUGCCCAGAUGGGAUUAGCUAGUAGGUGGGGUAACGGCUCACCUAGGCGACGAUCCCUAGCUGGUCUGAGAGGAUGACCAGCCACACUGGAACUGACACACGGUCCAGACUCCUACGGGAGGCAGCAGUGGGGAAUAUUGCACAAUGGGCGCAAGCCUGAUGCAGCCAAGCCGCGUGUAUGAAGAAGGCCUUCGGGUUGUAAAGUACUUUCAGCGGGGAGGAAGGGAGUAAAGUUAAUACCUUUGCUCAUUGACGUUACCCGCAGAAGAAGCACCGGCUAACUCCGUG
RNAcentral lists this ribosomal RNA (490 nucleotides) under uncultured bacterium. RNAcentral's name for it is "partial 16S ribosomal RNA". It matches the Rfam family "Bacterial small subunit ribosomal RNA", at positions 30 to 507 of the family's 1533-position model. The record is from RNAcentral.